ACUCAAAGGAAUAGACGGGGGCCCGCACAAGCGGUGGAGCAUGUGGUUUAAUUCGAUGCAACGCGAAGAACCUUACCUACCCUUGACAUACAGUGAAUUUUGCAGAGAUGCGAAAGUGCCUUCGGGAACACUGAUACAGGUGCUGCAUGGCUGUCGUCAGCUCGUGUCGUGAGAUGUUGGGUUAAGUCCCGUAACGAGCGCAACCCUUAUCCUUAGUUGCCAGCGAGUAAUGUCGGGAACUCUAAGGAGACUGCCGGUGACAAACCGGAGGAAGGCGGGGACGACGUCAAGUCAUCAUGGCCCUUACGGGUAGGGCUACACACGUGCUACAAUGGUUAGUACAGAGGGAAGCGAAGCGGCGACGUGGAGCAAACCCUAAAAAGCUAAUCGUAGUCCGGAUUGAAGUCUGCAACUCGACUUCAUGAAGUCGGAAUCGCUAGUAAUCGCGAAUCAGCAUGUCGCGGUGAAUACGUUCCCGGGCCUUGUACACACCGCCCGU
This 499-nucleotide ribosomal RNA is filed under the name uncultured bacterium. Its description in RNAcentral is "partial 16S ribosomal RNA". It matches the Rfam family "Bacterial small subunit ribosomal RNA", at positions 899 to 1397 of the family's 1533-position model. The record is from RNAcentral.